Molecule: ribosomal RNA, 320 nt
Filed under: Bacillus pumilus
Lineage: Bacteria; Bacillati; Bacillota; Bacilli; Caryophanales; Bacillaceae
Description: bacterial SSU rRNA
Rfam family: Bacterial small subunit ribosomal RNA
Source: RNAcentral
UUGGGGGGGUGCCUAAUACAUGCAAGUCGAGCGGACAGAAGGGAGCUUGCUCCCGGAUGUUAGCGGCGGACGGGUGAGUAACACGUGGGUAACCUGCCUGUAAGACUGGGAUAACUCCGGGAAACCGGAGCUAAUACCGGAUAGUUCCUUGAACCGCAUGGUUCAAGGAUGAAAGACGGUUUCGGCUGUCACUUACAGAUGGACCCGCGGCGCAUUAGCUAGUUGGUGAGGUAACGGCUCACCAAGGCGACGAUGCGUACCCGACCUGAGAGGGUGAUCGGCCACACUGGGACUGAGACACGGUCCAGACUCCUACGGGA